ACGGUAGCUAAUACCGCAUAAUGUCUACGACCAAAGGGCUUCGCUCUCGCGCAAAGAUGAACCCAAGCGAGAUUAGCUAGUUGGUGGGNNAAAGGCUCACCAAGGCGACGAUCUCUAGCUGUUCUGAGAGGAAGAUCAGCCACACUGGGACUGAGACACGGCCCAGACUCCUACGGGAGGCAGCAGUGGGGNAUAUUGCACAAUGGGGGNAACCCUGAUGCAGCCAUGCCGCGUGUGUGAAGAAGGCCCUAGGGUUGUAAAGCACUUUCAGUUGUGAGGAAAGGUUAACGGUUAAUACCCGUUAGCUGUGACGUUAGCAACAGAAGAAG
This 329-nucleotide ribosomal RNA is filed under the name uncultured Gammaproteobacteria bacterium. Its description in RNAcentral is "bacterial SSU rRNA". It matches the Rfam family "Bacterial small subunit ribosomal RNA", at positions 156 to 490 of the family's 1533-position model. Lineage: Bacteria; Pseudomonadati; Pseudomonadota; Gammaproteobacteria. The record is from RNAcentral.